GGGAUUUGUGACCCUGCAUGUCAGGAUGGCCAGACUCCAGGUGCCCAGAGCAGGUACAGGCUGGGACACCAGAUCCCCCUGUGGGCCCAACACCAUUAGCAUAUAGAGUUCCGAACACCAUGGAUACUUGAAAGAAUCCUGGAGGUAAGGCUUUAAGAACCUGAGAUCAUGGGCUCAGGAGAAGAAGUUUCCCCAGAAGCCCAGUUUCACCAGCCGAGGAAACAGCUGACCAGGGCACCGUGCUGCCAUCAUCCGGGACUCUCAGCCCCAGGUACUCUGGAAGGAGCAUAUCUUUCUGCCACAGGAACAAAGCUGUUUGGUUUUAAAUCCUCAUAAAAGGGCAAUGCUCAUUUCCUAUAUUGGGUUGUAUUUCCUAAUUACUGCCCCAAAGGAGAACUGGGGUAAGAGGAUAAGGGAAAGGAGGCUGGCUGCCUUCUCUUUGUGAGUUUAAAUAAAGUGUGAUUAAAAGCGCACCCUGCACAUU
This 484-nucleotide long non-coding RNA is filed under the name Fukomys damarensis (Damara mole-rat). RNAcentral describes it as "lncRNA (ENSFDAG00000027570.1)". The record is from RNAcentral. Lineage: Eukaryota; Metazoa; Chordata; Mammalia; Rodentia; Bathyergidae.